UGAGUAACCUGCCCCGAAGACCGGGAUAACCCUCCGAAAAGGAGAGCUAAUACCGGAUACCCCCACCGGACCGCAUGAUCUGGUGAGGAAAUGGAUUCCGCUUCGGGAGGGCCUCGCGGCCUAUCAGCUUGUUGGUGGGGUAACGGCCCACCAAGGCUUCGACGGGUAGCUGGUCUGAGAGGGUGACCGGCCACACUGGGACUGAGACACGGCCCAGACUCCUACGGGAGGCAG
This 234-nucleotide ribosomal RNA is filed under the name uncultured bacterium. Its description in RNAcentral is "partial 16S ribosomal RNA". It matches the Rfam family "Bacterial small subunit ribosomal RNA", at positions 118 to 351 of the family's 1533-position model. The record is from RNAcentral.